AGAGUUUGAUCAUGGCUCAGGAUGAACGCUAGCUACAGGCUUAACACAUGCAAGUCGAGGGGCAGCAUGAUUGAAGCUUGCUUCAAUUGAUGGCGACCGGCGCACGGGUGAGUAACGCGUAUCCAACCUUCCGUACACUCAGGGAUAGCCUUUCGAAAGAAAGAUUAAUACCUGAUGGUAUGAUGAGAUUGCAUGAUAGCAUCAUUAAAGAUUUAUCGGUGUACGAUGGGGAUGCGUUCCAUUAGGUAGUAGGCGGGGUAAGUGGCCCACCUAGCCGACGAUGGAUAGGGGUUCGUGAGAGGAAGGUCCCCCACAUUGGAACUGAGACACGGUCCAAACGUCCUACGGGAGGCA
Molecule: ribosomal RNA, 354 nt
Filed under: uncultured bacterium
Lineage: Bacteria
Description: bacterial SSU rRNA
Rfam family: Bacterial small subunit ribosomal RNA
Source: RNAcentral